Molecule: transfer RNA, 73 nt
Filed under: Podarcis lilfordi (Lilford's wall lizard)
Lineage: Eukaryota; Metazoa; Chordata; Lepidosauria; Squamata; Lacertidae
Description: tRNA.Ile
Source: RNAcentral
GCCUGAAUAGCUCAGUUGGUUACAGCGUGGUGUUGAUAAUGCCAAGGUUGUAAGUUCAAUCCCCAUAUGGGUC